RNAcentral lists this ribosomal RNA (432 nucleotides) under uncultured bacterium. RNAcentral describes it as "partial 16S ribosomal RNA". It matches the Rfam family "Bacterial small subunit ribosomal RNA", at positions 29 to 507 of the family's 1533-position model. The record is from RNAcentral.
ACGAACGCUGGCGGCAUGCCUAACACAUGCAAGUCGAACGAGACCUUCGGGUCUAGUGGCGCACGGGUGCGUAACGCGUGGGAACCUGCCCUUAGAUUCGGAAUAACUCCCCGAAAGGGGUGCUAAUACCGGAUAAUGUCUUCGGACCAAAGAUUUAUCGCCUUUGGAUGGGCCCGCGUUGGAUUAGCUAGUUGGUAGGGUAAAAGCCUACCAAGGCGACGAUCCAUAGCUGGUCUGAGAGGAUGAUCAGCCACACUGGGACUGAGACACGGCCCAGACUCCUACGGGAGGCAGCAGUGGGGAAUAUUGGACAAUGGGCGAAAGCCUGAUCCAGCAAUGCCGCGUGAGUGAUGAAGGCCUUAGGGUUGUAAAGCUCUUUUACCCGGGAUGAUAAUGACAGUACCGGGAGAAUAAGCUCCGGCUAACUCCGUG